RNAcentral lists this ribosomal RNA (231 nucleotides) under uncultured bacterium. RNAcentral's name for it is "partial 16S ribosomal RNA". It matches the Rfam family "Bacterial small subunit ribosomal RNA", at positions 15 to 244 of the family's 1533-position model. The record is from RNAcentral.
GAUCCUGGCUCAGGAUGAACGCUGACAGAAUGCUUAACACAUGCAAGUCAACUUGAAUUUGGGUUUUUAACUUAGAUUUGGGUGGCGGACGGGUGAGUAACGUGUAAAGAGCUUGCCUCACAGCUAGGGACAACAUUUAGAAAUGAAUGCUAAUACCUAAUAUUAUGAUUUUAAGGCAUCUUAGAAUUAUGAAAGCUAUAUGCACUGUGAGAGAGCUUUGCGUCCCAUUAG